GAGUUUGAUCAUGGCUCAGGACGAACGCUGGCGGUGCGCCUUAUGCAUGCAAGUCGAGCGAAGCUUUUCAGUAGUUUACUACAGAAAAUGACUGAGCGGCGAACGGGUGAGUAACGCGUGAGCAACCUACCUUAGUUACUGGGAUAGCCCGAGGAAACUCGGAUUAAUACCGGAUAUUCUUAUUUAAUCACAUGAUUUUUUAAGGAAAGGUCAGCCGAACUAAGAUGGGCUCGCGUUCUAUCAGCUAGUUGGUAGGGUAAUGGCCUACCAAGGCUACGACGGAUAGCUGGUCUGAGAGGACGAUCAGCCACACUGGGACUGAGACACGGCCCAGACUCCUACGGGAGGCUGCAGCAGGGAAUAUUGCGCAAUGAGCGAAAGCUUGACGCAGCGACACCGCGUGUGGGAUGACGGAUCUAGGUUUGUAAACCACUUUCAGGAGGGAAGAAAAUGACGGUACCUCCACAAGAAGCCCCGGCCAACUACGUGCCAGCAGCCGCGGUAAUACGUAGGGGGCGAGCGUUGUCCGGAUUUAUUGGGCGUAAAGAGCUCGUAGGCGGUUCAACAAGUCGGUCGUGAAAGUUCAGGGCUCAACCCUGAAAUGUCGAUCGAUACUGUUGUGACUAGGAUACGGUAGAGGUGAGUGGAAUUCCGAGUGUAGCGGUGAAAUGCGUAGAUAUUCGGAGGAACACCAGUUGCGAAGGCAGCUCACUGGGCCGCUAUCGACGCUGAGGAGCGAAAGCUAGGGGAGCAAACAGGAUUAGAUACCCUGGUAGUCCUAGCUGUAAACGAUGGAUACUAGACGUA
This 807-nucleotide ribosomal RNA is filed under the name uncultured bacterium. RNAcentral describes it as "bacterial SSU rRNA". It matches the Rfam family "Bacterial small subunit ribosomal RNA", at positions 9 to 824 of the family's 1533-position model. The record is from RNAcentral.